This 859-nucleotide ribosomal RNA is filed under the name uncultured bacterium. RNAcentral describes it as "bacterial SSU rRNA". It matches the Rfam family "Bacterial small subunit ribosomal RNA", at positions 12 to 858 of the family's 1533-position model. The record is from RNAcentral.
UUUAUUCUGGGUCCAGGACGAACCGUGGGGGGCGUGCCUUAACCCCUGCAAAUUGGAGCGGAGUUAUUAUGUUGAAAAUCCUUCGGGGUUGAAAGCUAUAUAACUUAGCGGCGGACGGGUGAGUAACGCGUGAGCAACUUGUCCCUCACUGGGGAAUAACACAUUGAAAGAUGUGCUAAUACCGCAUAAGACCACAAUGUCGCAUGACAAAGAGGUCAAAGGAAUUUAUUUCGGUGAGGGGUGGGCUCGCGUCCCAUUAGCUAGUUGGUGAGAUAACAGCUUACCAAGGCAACGAUGGGUAGCCGACCUGAGAGGGUGAUCGGCCACACUGGGACUGAGACACGGCCCAGACUCUUACGGGAGGCAGCAGUGGGGAAUAUUGGGCAAUGGGGGAAACCCUGACCCAGCAACGCCGCGUGAAGGAAGAAGGUUUUCGGAUCGUAAACUUCUGUCCUCAGUGAAGAGCAGAAGACGGUAACUGAGGAGGAAGCCCCGGCUAACUACGUGCCAGCAGCCGCGGUAAUACGUAGGGGGCAAGCGUUGUCCGGAAUGAUUGGGCGUAAAGGGCGCGUAGGCGGCCUAUUAAGUUUGGAGUGAAAGUCCCGCUUUCAAGGUGGGAAUUGCUUUGAAAACUGAUGGGCUAGAGUGCAGGAGAGGUUAGUGGAAUUCCCGGUGUAGCGGUGAAAUGCGUAGAGAUCGGGAGGAACACCAGUGGCGAAGGCGACUAACUGGACUGUAACUGACGCUGAGGCGCGAAAGUGUGGGGAGCAAACAGGAUUAGAUACCCUGGUAGUCCACACUGUAAACGAUGAAUGCUAGGUGUAGGAGGUAUCGACCCCUUCUGUACCGGAGUUAACAC